This 200-nucleotide long non-coding RNA is filed under the name Elaeis guineensis (African oil palm). RNAcentral's name for it is "long non-coding RNA (EGUI_LNC042694)". The record is from RNAcentral. Lineage: Eukaryota; Viridiplantae; Streptophyta; Magnoliopsida; Arecales; Arecaceae.
CAUCUAUUGAUGGAUGAGAUUUCCAACAAGAAAUAGAGUUGAGAAGCCUGAGGAAAUCAAGCUCUGGUCAGACAACACUACAUGGCAACUCUUUGGAAAAAAAGCUUAUGGAGACCAUUCCCAUUGAUGGGUUGGAUGCAUUAGAUGAGCUAAGGGAGCAACGAGCAAGACCAAUCAAGGAUCUCAUCUUGCUUCCACUC